RNAcentral lists this ribosomal RNA (472 nucleotides) under uncultured bacterium. Its description in RNAcentral is "partial 16S ribosomal RNA". It matches the Rfam family "Bacterial small subunit ribosomal RNA", at positions 30 to 507 of the family's 1533-position model. The record is from RNAcentral.
AGUGAACGCUGGCGGUAGGCCUAACACAUGCAAGUCGAACGGCAGCACAGUAAGAGCGUGCUCUUACGGGUGGCGAGUGGCGGACGUGUGAGGAAUAUAUCGGAAUCUACUUUUUCGUGUGGGAUCACGUAGGGAAACUUACUCUAAUACCGCAUACGACCUACGGGUGAAAGCAUGGGAUCUUCGGACCUUGCGGGAUUGGAUGGGCCGGUGGCUGAUUAGCUAGUUGGCGGGGUAGAGGCCCAGCAAGGCGACGAUGGGUAGCUGGCCUGAGAGGGUGGCCGGGCACAUGGGGACUGAGGUACGGCCCAGACUGGUAUGGGAGGCAGCAGUGGGGAGUAUUGCACAACGGGCGGAAGCGUGAUGCAGAGACGCCGCGUGCGGGAAGCCGGCUUUUGGGGUGUAAACAGCUUUCGGCUGUGACGAAGCGUGAGUGACGGUAAUGGGUAAAGAAGCACCGGCUAACUACGUG